RNAcentral lists this ribosomal RNA (497 nucleotides) under uncultured bacterium. Its description in RNAcentral is "partial 16S ribosomal RNA". It matches the Rfam family "Bacterial small subunit ribosomal RNA", at positions 28 to 507 of the family's 1533-position model. The record is from RNAcentral.
GAUGAACGCUGGCGGCGUGCCUAAUACAUGCAAGUCGAGCGAACAGACGAGGAGCUUGCUCCUCUGACGUUAGCGGCGGAAGGGUGAGUAACACGUGGAUAACCUACCUAUAAGACUGGGAUAACUUCGGGAAACCGGAGCUAAUACCGGAUAAUAUAUUGAACCGCAUGGUUCAAUAGUGAAAGACGGUUUUGCUGUCACUUAUAGAUGGAUCCGCGCCGCAUUAGCUAGUUGGUAAGGUAACGGCUUACCAAGGCAACGAUGCGUAGCCGACCUGAGAGGGUGGUCGGCCACACUGGAACUGAGACACGGUCCAGACUCCUACGAGAGGCAGCAGUAGGGAAUCUUCCGCAAUGGGCGAAAGCCUGACGGAGCAACGCCGCGUGAGUGAUGAAGGUCUUCGGAUCGUAAAACUCUGUUAUUAGGGAAGAACAAAUGUGUAAGUAACUAUGCACGUCUUGACGGUACCUAAUCAGAAAGCCACGGCUAACUUCGUG